Molecule: unclassified non-coding RNA, 374 nt
Filed under: uncultured fungus
Lineage: Eukaryota; Fungi
Description: sequence contains ITS1
Source: RNAcentral
UUAUAAGAUUUGCUUUCUCUGCUCAGACGGUGCAAUAAUAACUGAAAAUAGUUUGAAAGGUUUGUUCACAAAGAGACGCCCAGUGGGCGGGAGUGUUCUCCGUCUUCCGGUCACCGACAUUUGCGAGAAACGUAGCCCCCAUUACGGCCAGCGAUACCACACCAGGAUUAGAGGCCCUACGAUCGCUCGUGCCUUAGCAGUUAACGGGCAGGUCUCGUGAGAGAGGAUAUCCCUUUUCACAUCCGGCAUCGGCACAAAAAUCCUGCGUUCAUCGCGACUGAGCGGCGAAGCCUAGGGCUUCCGGUUCCCUCCGACCAAAGCCUACACUCACACUUCUUAUUCUAAUGAUCCUUCCGCAGGUUCACCUACGGAAA